CCUACGGGAGGUAGCAGUAAGGAAUAUUGGUCAAUGGGGGCAACCCUGAACCAGCCAUGCCGCGUGCAGGAAGACGGCCCUACGGGUUGUAAACUGCUUUUAUACGGGAAUAAACCUCUCUUCGUGAAGAGAGCUGAAUGUACUGUAAGAAUAAGGAUCGGCUAACUCCGUGCCAGCAGCCGCGGUAAUACGGAGGAUCCAAGCGUUAUCCGGAUUUAUUGGGUUUAAAGGGUGCGUAGGCGGCCUAUUAAGUCAGGGGUGAAAGACGGUGGCUCAACCAUCGCAGUGCCCUUGAUACUGAUGGGCUUGAUUACACUUGAGGUAGGCGGAAUGUGACAAGUAGCGGUGAAAUGCAUAGAUAUGUCACAGAACACCAAUUGCGAAGGCAGCUUACUAAGGUGUUAAUGACGCUGAGGCACGAAAGCGUGGGGAUCAAACAGGAUUAGAUACCCUGGUAGUCCACGCCCUAAACCGAUGAAUACUCGAUGUAGUCGAUAUACUAGUUAGUACGUCGAACGACGAAGACGUCGAGUAUUACCUACCGUCGGGUAGGUACGGCCCGCCGACGGUAGGAACGUACGAAGUAAGUAGUAGUACGCGNGAGACGACGACCGACGACGACGACGGAGGGAGGAGG
Molecule: ribosomal RNA, 637 nt
Filed under: uncultured bacterium
Lineage: Bacteria
Description: bacterial SSU rRNA
Rfam family: Bacterial small subunit ribosomal RNA (bases 1-543)
Source: RNAcentral